This 73-nucleotide transfer RNA is filed under the name Stegodyphus mimosarum. It matches the Rfam family "tRNA". From Rfam's summary of the family: Transfer RNA (tRNA) molecules are approximately 80 nucleotides in length. Their secondary structure includes four short double-helical elements and three loops (D, anti-codon, and T loops). The record is from Rfam by way of RNAcentral. Lineage: Eukaryota; Metazoa; Arthropoda; Arachnida; Araneae; Eresidae.
GCCUUCGUGGUGUAGCGGUCAGCACGCUUGACGCGUAACCGAGAGGUCCGUGGUUCGAUUCUCGGCGAAGGCG